This 62-nucleotide transfer RNA is filed under the name Curculionoidea sp. 29 KM-2017. RNAcentral describes it as "tRNA-Cys". Lineage: Eukaryota; Metazoa; Arthropoda; Insecta; Coleoptera. The record is from RNAcentral.
AGUCUUAUAUUCAAUUAUGAUUUUAAUUUGCAAAAUUAAAGGUAAGUUAAUCUUUAAGGCUU